Molecule: long non-coding RNA, 608 nt
Filed under: Salmo salar (Atlantic salmon)
Lineage: Eukaryota; Metazoa; Chordata; Actinopteri; Salmoniformes; Salmonidae
Description: lncRNA (ENSSSAG00000087245.1)
Source: RNAcentral
GUUGCAACCAGAGGAGGUUUGGAACCGGGUAGUGGGCGUUGCAACCAGAGGAGGUUUGGAACCGGGUAGUGGGCGUUGCAACCAGAGGAGGUUUGGAACCGGGUAGUGGGCGUUGCAACCAGAGGAGGCGUCGGCUCAUAAAUGUAUGGAAUGGAGUGAACGGAAUGGCAGCAAACACGUCGAAGACGUGGUUUCCAUGUGGUUGAUACCAUUCCAUCGACUCCAUUAUUGUGAGCCGUCGCCCCUUCAGCAGCCGCCAAUGGUUGGAACAGACAAUGUUUACCCGCUUCUGUGAGCUUGUGUGGCCUACCACUUCACAAUAACAGGGCAGAAAUUUGACAAACUGACUUGUUGGAAAGGUGGCAUCCUAUGACGGUGCCACGUUGAAAGUCUCUGAGAUCUUCAUUAAGGCCAUUCUACUGACAAUGUUUGUCUAUGGAGAUUGCAUGGCUGUGUGCUCAAUUUUACACCUGUCAGCAACGGGUGUGCUGAAAUAGCCGACCACUAAUUUGAAGGGGUGUCCACGUGUAUGUAUGUAUGUAUGUAUGUAUGUAUGUAUGUAUGUAUAUACACUGCUCAAAAAAAUAAAGGGAACACUUAAACAACAC